CAGGACACCCAGGCAAUCGCGCAGUUUUGCGAGGAAAGUCCGGGCUCCACAGCACAGGAUGGUAGAUAACAUCUACCCACGGUAACGUGCGGGAUAGUGCCACAGAAAAGAAACCGCCCUGCGGGGUAAGGGUGAAAGGGUGGUGUAAGAGACCACCAGUACCGCAAGUGAUUGGGGUAGCUAGGUAAACCCCAUCCGGAGCAAGGCCAAAUAUGGGUACGCUUGAGGCUAGUGCGGCCGAGGUAUCCGGGUAGGCUGCUUGAGCAUCCAGUGAUGGAAUGCCUAGAUGGAUGAUUGCCACUUUGGCUUAAAAGCAAAGUACAAAACCCGGCUUAUCGGGUGUCCUGUUCC
RNAcentral lists this RNase P RNA (351 nucleotides) under Rothia sp. (in: high G+C Gram-positive bacteria). RNAcentral describes it as "RNase P RNA component class A". It matches the Rfam family "Bacterial RNase P class A". From Rfam's summary of the family: Ribonuclease P (RNase P) is a ubiquitous endoribonuclease, found in archaea, bacteria and eukarya as well as chloroplasts and mitochondria. Lineage: Bacteria; Bacillati; Actinomycetota; Actinomycetes; Micrococcales; Micrococcaceae. The record is from RNAcentral.